RNAcentral lists this ribosomal RNA (557 nucleotides) under uncultured bacterium. Its description in RNAcentral is "partial 16S ribosomal RNA". It matches the Rfam family "Bacterial small subunit ribosomal RNA", at positions 355 to 920 of the family's 1533-position model. The record is from RNAcentral.
UGGGGAAUAUUGGACAAUGGGCGCAAGCCUGAUCCAGCCAUGCCGCGUGAGUGAUGAAGGCCUUAGGGUUGUAAAGCUCUUUCGCCGACGAAGAUAAUGACGGUAGUCGGAGAAGAAGCCCCGGCUAACUUCGUGCCAGCAGCCGCGGUAAUACGAAGGGGGCUAGCGUUGUUCGGAAUCACUGGGCGUAAAGCGCACGUAGGCGGAUUGUUAAAGUCAGGGGUGAAAGCCUGGAGCUCAACUCCAGAACUGCCCUUGAUACUGGCAAUCUCGAGUCCGGAAGAGGUAAGUGGAGCUGCGAGUGUAGAGGUGAAAUUCGUAGAUAUUCGCAAGAACACCAGUGGCGAAGGCGGCUUACUGGUCCGGUACUGACGCUGAGGUGCGAAAGCGUGGGGGAGCAAAACAGGAUUAGAUACCCUGGUAGUCCACGCCGGGGGUAAAACGAUGGAGGCUAGCCGUUGGCGAGCAUGCUCGUCAGUGGCGCAGCUAACGCAUUAAGCCUCCCGCCUGGGGAGUACGGUCGCAAGAUUAAAAACUUAAAGGAAAUUGACGGGGGU